UACGUAGGGUGCGAGCGUUGUCCGGAAUUAUUGGGCGUAAAGGGCUCGUAGGCGGUUUGUCGCGUCGGGAGUGAAAACCAUGAGCUUAACUCAUGGCUUGCUUUCGAUACGGGCAGACUAGAGGUAUGCAGGGGAGAACGGAAUUCCUGGUGUAGCGGUGAAAUGCGCAGAUAUCAGGAGGAACACCGGUGACGAAGGCGGUUCUCUGGGCAUUACCUGACGCUGAGGAGCGAAAGUGUGGGGAGCGAACAGG
Molecule: ribosomal RNA, 253 nt
Filed under: uncultured bacterium
Lineage: Bacteria
Description: partial 16S ribosomal RNA
Rfam family: Bacterial small subunit ribosomal RNA
Source: RNAcentral